CCUACGGGAGGCAGCAGUGGGGAAUAUUGCACAAUGGGGGAAACCCUGAUGCAGCGACGCCGCGUGAGUGAAGAAGUAUUUCGUUAUGUAAAGCUCUAUCAGCAGGGAAGAAAAUGUCGGUACCUGAGUAAGAAACCCAGGCUAACUACGUGUCAGCAGCCGCGGUAAUACGUAUGGGGCAAGCGCUAUCCGGAUUUUCUGGGUGUAAAGGGAGCGGAGACGGCAGUGCAAGUCUGGAGUGAAAGGGGGGGGCUCAACCCCCGGACUGCUCUGGAAACUGUACGGCUGGAGUGUUGGAGAGGUAAGUGGAAUUCCUAGUGUAGCGGUGAAAUGCGUAGAUAUUAGGAGGAACACCGGUGGCGAAGGCGGCCAACUGGACUUUCACUGACGCUGAGGCUCGAAAGCGUGGGGAGCAAACAGGAUUAGAUACCCCUGUAGUC
Molecule: ribosomal RNA, 440 nt
Filed under: uncultured bacterium
Lineage: Bacteria
Description: partial 16S ribosomal RNA
Rfam family: Bacterial small subunit ribosomal RNA
Source: RNAcentral